RNAcentral lists this ribosomal RNA (752 nucleotides) under uncultured Glomus. RNAcentral's name for it is "SSU rRNA". It matches the Rfam family "Eukaryotic small subunit ribosomal RNA", at positions 338 to 1092 of the family's 1831-position model. The record is from RNAcentral. Lineage: Eukaryota; Fungi; Glomeromycota; Glomeromycetes; Glomerales; Glomeraceae.
GGCCUACCAUGGUGGUAACGGGUAACGGGGUGUUAGGGCACGACACCGGAGAGGGAGCCUGAGAAACGGCUACCACAUCCAAGGAUGGCAGCAGGCGCGCAAAUUACCCAAUCCCGACACGGGGAGGUAGUGACAAUAAAUAACAAUACGGGGUUCUUUCGGAUCUCGUAAUUGGAAUGAGUACAAUUUAAAUCUCUUAACGAGGAACAAUUGGAGGGCAAGUCUGGUGCCAGCAGCCGCGGUAAUUCCAGCUCCAAUAGCGUAUAUUAAAGUUGUUGCAGUUAAGAAGCUCGUAGUUGAAUUUCGGGACCAAUUUGUUGGUCGUGCCUCGGUACGUACUGGUAUUAUUGGUUUCUCCCUUCUGAAGAACCUCGAUGUCAUUAAUUUGGUGUCGUGGGGAAUCAGGACUGUUACUUUGAAAAAAUUAGAGUGUUUAAAGCAGGCAUACGCUUGAAUACAUUAGCAUGGAAUAAUGAAAUAGGACGUUUGAUUCUAUUUUGUUGGUUUCUAGGAUCGACGUAAUGAUUAAUAGGGAUAGUUGGGGGCAUUAGUAUUCAAUUGUCAGAGGUGAAAUUCUUGGAUUUAUUGAAGACUAACUACUGCGAAAGCAUUUGCCAAGGAUGUUUUCAUUAAUCAAGAACGAAAGUUAGGGGAUCGAAGACGAUCAGAUACCGUCGUAGUCUUAACCAUAAACUAUGCCGACUAGGGAUCGGAUGAUGUUAAUUUUUUAAUGACUCAUUCGGCGCCUUACG